This 427-nucleotide ribosomal RNA is filed under the name uncultured Desulfovibrio sp. RNAcentral's name for it is "bacterial SSU rRNA". It matches the Rfam family "Bacterial small subunit ribosomal RNA", at positions 355 to 774 of the family's 1533-position model. Lineage: Bacteria; Pseudomonadati; Thermodesulfobacteriota; Desulfovibrionia; Desulfovibrionales; Desulfovibrionaceae. The record is from RNAcentral.
UGGGGAAUAUUGCGCAAUGGACGAAAGUCUGACGCAGCGACGCCGCGUGAGGGAUGAAGGUUUUCGGAUCGUAAACCUCUGUCAGGAGGGAAGAAAGCGCAUGGCGCCAAUCAGCCAUGCGUUGACGGUACCUCCAAAGGAAGCGCCGGCUAACUCCGUGCCAGCAGCCGCGGUAAUACGGAGGGCGCGAGCGUUAAUCGGAAUUACUGGGCGUAAAGCGCGCGUAGGCUGUUGUGUAAGUUGGGGGUGAAAUCCCACGGCUCAACCGUGGAACAGCCCUUGAUACUGCGCGACUUGAAUCCGGGAGAGGGUGGCGGAAUUCCAGGUGUAGGAGUGAAAUCCGUAGAUAUCUGGAGGAACAUCAGUGGCGAAGGCGGCCACCUGGACCGGUAUUGACGCUGAGGCGCGAAAGCGUGGGGAGCAAACA